This 82-nucleotide transfer RNA is filed under the name Daphnia pulicaria. RNAcentral describes it as "tRNA-Leu". It matches the Rfam family "tRNA". Rfam says of the family: Transfer RNA (tRNA) molecules are approximately 80 nucleotides in length. Their secondary structure includes four short double-helical elements and three loops (D, anti-codon, and T loops). Lineage: Eukaryota; Metazoa; Arthropoda; Branchiopoda; Diplostraca; Daphniidae. The record is from RNAcentral.
GAUAGUGUGGCCGAGUGGUCUAUGGCGCUGGUUUUAGGCACCAGUCUCUUCGGAGGGAAGGGUUCGAAUCCCUUCACUGUCA